This 89-nucleotide transfer RNA is filed under the name Geotoga petraea. RNAcentral's name for it is "tRNA-Ser". It matches the Rfam family "tRNA". From Rfam's summary of the family: Transfer RNA (tRNA) molecules are approximately 80 nucleotides in length. Their secondary structure includes four short double-helical elements and three loops (D, anti-codon, and T loops). Lineage: Bacteria; Thermotogati; Thermotogota; Thermotogae; Petrotogales; Petrotogaceae. The record is from RNAcentral.
GGAGAGAUGGCCGAGCGGCCGAAGGCGCACGCCUGGAACGCGUGUGAUGGCAACCCCAUCCGUGGGUUCAAAUCCCACUCUCUCCGCCA